RNAcentral lists this ribosomal RNA (248 nucleotides) under Scrippsiella trochoidea. RNAcentral describes it as "partial Bacterial small subunit ribosomal RNA". It matches the Rfam family "Bacterial small subunit ribosomal RNA", at positions 1 to 281 of the family's 1533-position model. Lineage: Eukaryota; Dinophyceae; Peridiniales; Peridiniaceae. The record is from RNAcentral.
UUGAGAGUUUGAUCCUGGCUCAGAACGAACGCUGGCGGCAGGCUUAACACAUGCAAGUCGAGCGCCCUGCUUGCAGGGAGCGGCAGACGGGUGAGUAACGCGUGGGAAUAUACCUUUCGGUACGGAACAACAGUUGGAAACGACUGCUAAUACCGUAUGCGCCCUAUGGGGGAAAGAUUUAUCGCCGAAGGAUUAGCCCGCGUUGGAUUAGCUAGUUGGUGGGGUAAAGGCCUACCAAGGCGACGAUC